Molecule: ribosomal RNA, 484 nt
Filed under: uncultured bacterium
Lineage: Bacteria
Description: partial 16S ribosomal RNA
Rfam family: Bacterial small subunit ribosomal RNA
Source: RNAcentral
AUUGAACGCUGGCGGCAUGCUUUACACACGCAAGUCGAACGGCAGCGCGGGCUUCGGCCUGGCGGCGAGUGGCGAACGGGUGAGUAAUGCAUCGGAACGUGCCCAGUAGUGGGGGAUAGCCCGGCGAAAGCCGGAUUAAUACCGCAUACGACCUGAGGGUGAAAGCGGGGGACCGAAAGGCCUCGCGCUAUUGGAGCGGCCGAUGUCGGAUUAGCUAGUUGGUGGGGUAAAGGCUUACCAAGGCGACGAUCCGUAGCUGGUCUGAGAGGACGACCAGCCACACUGGGACUGAGACACGGCCCAGACUCCUACGGGAGGCAGCAGUGGGGAAUUUUGGACAAAGGGGGCAACCCUGAUCCAGCCAUGCCGCGUGCGGGAAGAAGGCCUUCGGGUUGUAAACCGCUUUUGUUCGGGAAGAAAUCCUCUGGGCUAAUACCCCGGGGGGAUGACGGUACCGGAAGAAUAAGCACCGGCUAACUACGUG